CCUCCAUUCUGAUCCCGGGAACGUUCUCGCUCAGACUCCCAUCCUCUUGGGCUUCUUUGGGAGCGAUAGUCCAGAUCUUCAUCUCGGAUGGGGAGUCAUCCUGCUGGUUUGCCUGGAUGCGAUAACCACUUCGUACUUCUGAGGAACAGGGGAGGAAUUUGUGGGGUCUUCACCUGAGCUCUGUCGGUCAAAAUCCCCUGCGAAGCCAUUGUGGACAGGAGCCAUCUGGAUCAUGGGUAGAGGGGAAGGAGCCUUGGCUGGAGAGAGGGGUCCAUGCCUUAGUUCUCCAAAUGUGUGAAAUGAGGCUAACACCCUCUACCCAGGUCCUCACUGCCACUGCUGAAGCCUCUACAGGUCUUGACUCAGUGGGUGGCCCUGGACAAACAACUUCCCUUCUCUGUAAAGUCAGACAGCUGGACUAAAUAAUCUGAGAUCCUUUCCACCACCUGUGCUAGGAAUGGAUGAAAAAUGGCGCCAAUAAAAAGAAGAAUGGUUUCUUGCAAAGCUCAGCUCAGGAAUCACCUCUAAGAGUCUUUGCUGAUCCCCCCUCCCCAAUUAAGCAACGAGCAUUGAAGACCUACCAUGUGCCCAGGGCUGGAGAUAGCAUGACAAAAAUAAAAGUCUCUGCCCUCGA
This is a non-coding RNA of Phascolarctos cinereus (koala), 634 nucleotides long. Lineage: Eukaryota; Metazoa; Chordata; Mammalia; Diprotodontia; Phascolarctidae. The record is from RefSeq and is a predicted model, not a curated record.